This 429-nucleotide ribosomal RNA is filed under the name Chloroflexota bacterium. Its description in RNAcentral is "Chloroflexi bacterium partial 16S ribosomal RNA". It matches the Rfam family "Bacterial small subunit ribosomal RNA", at positions 355 to 776 of the family's 1533-position model. Lineage: Bacteria; Bacillati; Chloroflexota. The record is from RNAcentral.
UGGGGAAUAUUGCACAAUGGGCGCAAGCCUGAUGCAGCCAUGCCGCGUGUGUGAAGAAGGCCUUCGGGUUGUAAAGCACUUUCAGCGGGGAGGAAGGCGAUAAGGUUAAUAACCUUGUCGAUUGACGUUACCCGCAGAAGAAGCACCGGCUAACUCCGUGCCAGUAGCCGCUGUAAUACGGAGGGUGCAAGCGUUAAUCGGAAUUACUGGGCGUAAAGCGCACGCAGGCGGUCUGUCAAGUCGGAUGUGAAAUCCCCGGGCUCAACCUGGGAACUGCAUUCGAAACUGGCAGGCUAGAGUCUUGUAGAGGGGGGUAGCAUUCCAGGUGUAGCAGUGAAAUGCGUAGCGAUCUGGAAGAAUACCGGUGGCGAAGGCGGCCCCCUAGACAAAAACUGACGCUCAGGUGCGAAAGCGUGGGGAGCAAACAGG